CAAAUUAGAGCUUGAUAGAAAGUUUUUUACUUACAUUAAAAUGUUGUCGUGCAAUUCGGUAUAAUUUGA
RNAcentral lists this transfer RNA (69 nucleotides) under Cantonius szechuanensis. Its description in RNAcentral is "tRNA-Val". The record is from RNAcentral. Lineage: Eukaryota; Metazoa; Arthropoda; Insecta; Coleoptera; Buprestidae.